Molecule: long non-coding RNA, 2171 nt
Organism: Gadus macrocephalus (Pacific cod)
Lineage: Eukaryota; Metazoa; Chordata; Actinopteri; Gadiformes; Gadidae
Exons: 3
Source: RefSeq, a predicted model, not a curated record
UAUAACAAUCAGUUUCUUUGUCUCUUAGUUUUAGUAUCAUCAUGAAUCUAUCUCUUUCUUUAAUAUCUAUCAUUCAUUAUAACAUUUAUCAUGUUGUUUAGACAUAAUCGGUUAUGGAAGAAAGCACUUAGAAAGAUUACAGCACUUGUGGGUGAAAUGAUGUUGUCAUACGCUUAUGACAUGUUGUAUUGUUGUUCUGUUUAUCUUACACUUAUGAUAUGUUGUAUUGUUGUAUUGUUUAUCAUUAUAUGGUGUAUUUUACUUAUUAGUAUAAUUUGUGGAACAAGUAACAACAAUCUGAAGGCGUACAUGCCGGAGAGUACAUGCCUGAGAGUAGGCCUACGUGCCUGAGAGAAUCUCUGCCAUGGCGGGGUGGAAAAAUAUCAGGUCAAAGUGACCUGGUAUCUGCAUCAGAGAAAGGGGAGGUGAAAGUGAAAGUUCUAGAUAAAAGGCGCUGUAUGAGGCAGAGAGAUAAAGACAUCGUCCCGACGGGGGCUCCAUGCGGGGCGGCCCUGGGCCCUUUGCGAUCGCCGGACUUUCGGACUUAGGAAACUCAGAAAACUUAGAACAUCCGAUCGCCGUACUUUCAGAUUUAGAAAAAUUAGAAAAUCCGAUCUCCGUACUUUCGGACUUAGAGAAAUUAGGACAUCCUCUCUUCAACACUCUACAGAUAUGGGAGAGAUCUCUCCCAUAGCCCAACGGGGCAAAGAAGACUACUGGCUGUGGGACCAUUUGAUGAGACCUUCCUGGCUGUGGGACCAUUUGAUGAGACCUUCCUUGCUGUGGGACCAUUUGAUGAGACCGACCCUCCGUGCCCGAGGAGAGAUAGAGCUUCUCUCUCUCUCCCUACCGUCGACACCGGGGAAGUGUUGGAUGUAGUGUAGAGAGGUAAGAAUCAGGUAUCGAAAUUAUUAUAGACUAAAUCAGCUUUAUAGACAAACCCAAUUUAUUAGGCACUAUAUUAUAGGUAUUAUAGGAGAGAUAGAGUUUCUCUCUCUCUCCCUCUGACGUCACCGGAGCAACAUUCCAGCGCCGCUCACUCCCCAAUAACACGGACGUGAGGAUAGAUUAGUCUCGAUCUCUCCUUUCUUCACAGUGUGCGGGGGCCAGAACAAGGGAGCGACAGCCUUUCUCUUCACACCGCUGAGGAGAGUGUCGACGUAGAGAGGUGUAGAGAGGUGAAAAAUCCGGAAUCGAAAUUAUCGUAGACAAACCCACCAAGAUGUGUUCCAGAUGUAUUUUAUGUCACUUAUUUAGAAGCGUCACUGACGGCAUUCUAUUAGUCACUAUAUUAUAUGUAUUAACAUGCUUUUUUGAUGGCCUUCACCGCUUGCUGCAAUGUCCCAGAUAUUAAUCCUGCAAAUAAAACUAUAUUCAAACCAUUCCUUUCCAAUCAUUCCAAGGACCUGCUACGGAGGAGUGUAGGUUAGAGCUUCAGUGAACGAACUAACUGUUCUAGUAUAGGCAUCGUGGAUCUAAGAGGUUACCUAGUACAAAGAAAUCAAACGUAUCCCGGGAGUUAGUCAUUUCCAAACUCCUAAAACAAUCUCAGCAAAUUCACCAAGUGCACGGAUCCCAGAGGAGAGCUAUCACAACAGACGUGAUCGGUACUCACAGACCAUCUCCAGAGUGUUCACGUCGAUAUUGCCCCCCACCACGCCCCCUUUGGAGUCCAGCUUGGACCGCCCCAGGCCGACCGACAUGCUGAUCUCCCGGUCCCGAUUGCUGCCCACGGACAGGCGGCCCUGGCUCUUCAGACCGCUGGUGGUCCACCUGGAGGAGCCAAUGAGCUCUCAUUAGAACGUAAUGCAGUAUCCACGUCAUCAGGUUCAUCAAAUAAGUAUAUAUGGACAAAAAUAUAUGAAACUAAGGCACAUAGUGAUGAUGGCUGAACGCCCCGACCCACGUGACCCACGUGACAUCACAUCAGCCAUCUCAGUCUAAUGGAAAUAGUGACUACAGCUGUCAUCUCUUUGGUUCAUAGAACAAGCGUUGUCAAUGCAUGGCAAGCUUUAGGAUUGUUGCCUUAACGUUGACAUUAAUGGAAAAUUCUUCACAGAGUGAAAUAUUGCUUGUGGUAUUUGCUGUAUCACUAUUUGACAUUUGUCUAUGGCAAUCCUGACCAGCUUGUGUGUGAUAUUCUGCAACAUUACGCCAUAAAAAAUGCACAG